AGACGACUCCUACGGAGGGCAGCAGUGGGGAAUAUUGGGCAAUGGGCGCAAGCCUGACCCAGCAAUGCCGCGUGAAGGAAGAAGGCCUCGGGUUGUAAACUUCUUUUAUCAGGGACGAAGGAUGUGACGGUACCUGAUGAAUAAGCUCCGGCUAACUACGUGCC
This 164-nucleotide ribosomal RNA is filed under the name uncultured bacterium. RNAcentral's name for it is "partial 16S ribosomal RNA". It matches the Rfam family "Bacterial small subunit ribosomal RNA", at positions 330 to 509 of the family's 1533-position model. The record is from RNAcentral.